Molecule: ribosomal RNA, 874 nt
Filed under: uncultured marine group I thaumarchaeote
Lineage: Archaea; Thermoproteati; Nitrososphaerota
Description: SSU rRNA
Rfam family: Archaeal small subunit ribosomal RNA
Source: RNAcentral
CUGCUAUCGGAUGAUACUAAGCCAUGCGAGUCUUUGUAGUAAUACAAGGCAUACGGCUCAGUAACACGUAGUCAACCUACCCUAUGGACGAGAAUAAUCUCGGGAAACUGAGCAUAAUUCUCGAUAGAUCAUAAUGCCUGGAAUGGUUUAUGGUUAAAAUGAUUCGUCGCCAUAGGAUGGGACUGCGGCCUAUCAGCUUGUUGGUGAGGUAAUGGCCCACCAAGGCGAUUACAGGUACGGGCUCUGAGAGGAGAAGCCCGGAGAUGGGUACUGAGACACGGACCCAGGCCCUAUGGGGCGCAGCAGGCGAGAAAACUUUGCAAUGUGCGAAAGCACGACAAGGUUAAUCCGAGUGAUUUCUGCUAAAGAAAUCUUUUGCCAGUCAUAAAACCACUGGUGAAUAAGGGGUGGGCAAGUUCUGGUGUCAGCCGCCGCGGUAAAACCAGCACCUCAAGUGGUCAGGAUGAUUAUUGGGCCUAAAGCAUCCGUAGCCGGCCUUGUAAGUUUUCGGUUAAAUCCAUGUGCUCAACGCAUGGGCUGCCGAAAAUACUGCAUGGCUAGGGAGUGGGAGAGGUAGACGGUACUCAGUAGGAAGGGGUAAAAUCCUUUGAUCUAUUGAUGACCACCUGUGGCGAAGGCGGUCUACCAGAACACGUUCGACGGUGAGGGAUGAAAGCUGGGGGAGCAAACCGGAUUAGAUACCCGGGUAGUCCCAGCUGUAAACGAUGCAGACUCGAUGAUGCAUUGGCAUAAUAGCCAGUGCAGUGUCGCAGGGAAGCCGUUAAGUCUGCCGCCUGGGAAGUACGUACGCAAGUAUGAAACUUAAAGGAAUUGGCGGGGGAGCACCACAAGGGGUGAAGCCCUGCGGUUCAAU